GGCUUGGCUGGGUGGUCUUGCCGAAAGGUAAGCACUGCUCUGGUCGGGUCUUUCCUUCUGGGGAACCAGCGUGCUCUUAACUGAGUGCGUUGGGGAUCCAGGACUUUUACUUUGAAAAAAUUAGAGUGUUCAAAGCAGGCAUUUGCUCGAAUACAUUAGCAUGGAAUAAUAGAAUAGGAC
Molecule: ribosomal RNA, 180 nt
Filed under: uncultured Glomeromycotina
Lineage: Eukaryota; Fungi; Glomeromycota
Description: partial small subunit ribosomal RNA
Rfam family: Eukaryotic small subunit ribosomal RNA (bases 90-180)
Source: RNAcentral